Molecule: ribosomal RNA, 532 nt
Filed under: Margarites olivaceus
Lineage: Eukaryota; Metazoa; Mollusca; Gastropoda; Trochida; Margaritidae
Description: partial 16S rRNA
Rfam family: Bacterial large subunit ribosomal RNA
Source: RNAcentral
GGCUCUUUGUGGUAUAUAUCUACAUAAAUAAAGAGUCGGACCUGCCCAGUGACUUAUAGUUAAACGGCCGCGGUACCCUGACCGUGCAAAGGUAGCAUAAUCAUUUGCCUUUUUAUUGGAGGCUUGUAUGAAUGGUUUGACGAGAGCUAAGCUGUCUCCUUAGAAAUAUUUAAAAAUUAACUUUUAGGUGAAGAGGCCUAAAUUUGUUUAAGGGACAAGAAGACCCUAUUGAGCUUUAGUGACAUUAAUGAAUUAUUUAAUAAGUUAAUUGAUUGCAUUUAUUUGUAAAUUAAAUUUGUUAUUAAUCUUUAGUUGGGGCGACUGAGGAACUGAGUAAGCUUCCUUGAAUUUUGUUUGUACAUAUAGGCAGACUAGCUAUAAGGGAUCCAGUAUUGUAAUACUGAUUAAGGGAAAAAGUUACCAUAGGGAUAACAGCGUAAUCUUUCUGGAGAGUUCUUAUCGAAAGAAGGGUUUGCGACCUCGAUGUUGGACUAAGGUAUCCCGGAGGUGUAGAAGCUUCCAACGGUUGGUC